This is a transfer RNA of Laccaria bicolor S238N-H82, 105 nucleotides long. It matches the Rfam family "tRNA". Rfam says of the family: Transfer RNA (tRNA) molecules are approximately 80 nucleotides in length. Their secondary structure includes four short double-helical elements and three loops (D, anti-codon, and T loops). The record is from Rfam. Lineage: Eukaryota; Fungi; Basidiomycota; Agaricomycetes; Agaricales; Hydnangiaceae.
GCCUUCUUGGCUCAGUUGGUUAGAGCGCAGGUCUCAUAUUCGAAAUAUGAGUAAUCACAUGAUUACGUAAUCCUGAGGUCGCAAGUUCGAACCUUGCAGGGGGCA